This 253-nucleotide ribosomal RNA is filed under the name uncultured bacterium. Its description in RNAcentral is "partial 16S ribosomal RNA". It matches the Rfam family "Bacterial small subunit ribosomal RNA", at positions 524 to 776 of the family's 1533-position model. The record is from RNAcentral.
GACGUAGGGCGCAAGCGCUGUCCGGAUUUAUUGGGCGUAAAGAGCUCGUAGGCGGCUCGUUGCGUCGGCUGUGAAAACCCGCAGCUCAACUGUGGGCUUGCAGCUGAUACGGGCGGGCUGGAGUUCGGUAGGGGAGACUGGAAUUCCUGGUGUAGCGGUGAAAUGCGCAGAUAUCAGGAGGAACACCGGUGGCGAAGGCGGGUCUCUGGGCCGAUACUGACGCUGAGGAGCGAAAGCGUGGGGAGCGAACAGG